GGUGGCUCGUUGUAGUCGUGGGAUGAUGUGUGGUAAUAUUUUUAAAACUAUAACUAAAAAGGGUAAUUAGAGGGUUGCCGUUAUCCCUACUAAAUAUUUCCUUCUAAAGCAAAUUAAAGACUUUCUAAAUGCCGCACUUAUCUUGUCUAGUUGAUAUCAUCUAUAUGAAUAAUUUACUUUUAUUGUGUUAUGUGCUUAGCUAAAUCCGCACUAAUGCCAUGAGAUUUUAGUAAUUUAAAGAGAACGAGAAGAAACUUAAGGACAAAUACUCUAAAGAAACAAUUAUGACAGAGUCUCAAAAUAAUAAAAGAAUUAUUUAGUAGGAAUAAAGUCAAAACUCUAACUACCAUUUUAGUGAUAGUUUUAAAAUUAUUACCAAACAUAUUUUUUAACUAUACAACAACACUGGUUUCAAAAUUUCCCUAAACAGAAAAUUUCAAAAUAGAUCUCUUUCUAUAAUUACAAACCAAAAAAGUAACACCCAAUGCAAUCUACAUGAUUUCAAAACUCUCCUGCACCUAAUAUAGACUGAGAAAGAAAAUACCCAGAUUUUAUUUCUUGAUAAACCCCACAAAUAAAGUCAGCUCUGUGUUGUACAAUACACCAUAAACACCAAAAAUGAUAAUCAGCCAUCUGUAAAGCUAAUGUUCCAAUCUUUGAUAAUAAGAUCAAAUCUUUUAUUUUUUUAAAAACUUCAAUCUUGGAUAAAAUGGAGAAACACUAGAAGUCAUAUACCAAACAAGAUAAGAGAAACCCACCAAAAUGUCCCUUCAAAUGAUGAAACUAAACACACCCAAGUUGUAAUUCUACAUCUAUGGAUCCUUAAGAAUCAAUCUACACCAUCAAUUCAAGAUUUGAAAUUUUUUUUGAUCUAUGAUCAACAACUAUACAAAUCUAGAAAUAUCUGAUGAGGUACAUUGAAUGUCGAUAAAAACAGAAGCUGAAAUGGGUUUUGGAGUUUCAUGUCUGAACAUCAUUUGGGAUUAGAGGACUUAGGGAGGAAGGCAGGAGUAUGAGUAGAUAAGAGGAAAUACAGGGGUUAGGACUGGUAGUUUUUGUUGAAAUGUAAGCAAAUUUCUUCUUUAGUUUUUGGGCUUCAUAGUGACAACAAGUGUUGGUAAGUUUCUUCUUCAUCGCAUUUGCGAGGGCAGAGAGUUGAGUUGUGCUAGCCAAUAUGAUGGCCUUCGCGUUCGUGAGGCUACGUGUCACAUUCGCAAAGGGCUAGCAACCUUAGGCUUCAAAUUCGCGAGGCGCCUCACCGCGUUUGCGAUGUUGUGUGCGUGAGUGGGCCGCGAUCGCUAGCCUUGGGCUCUGCGAUCGCGAAGAGCUUUUGGGAAAGGUCUUUUGAAUAAGACCAUUCAUGUAAUCAGCCUGAUCCGAAUGGUUGUUUUGGCAAUUUUGGGAGCUAGGG
This 1411-nucleotide long non-coding RNA is filed under the name Solanum tuberosum (potato). Its description in RNAcentral is "long non-coding RNA (STUB_LNC011315)". The record is from RNAcentral. Lineage: Eukaryota; Viridiplantae; Streptophyta; Magnoliopsida; Solanales; Solanaceae.